CAGUGACACACCUCCUCCGCCUCCCUGCGACCUCCUCCACCUCCCCUGCGACUCUGCGAGUAACGAACGGCGAGCAGCCGACGGGGACUCAUUGCUCAGUAUGCUGGAGCUGGAUUCCUUCUCUGGUUUCUGGUGUCCUGUGAAAUAUUCAUGUUUUGUGUAAUAAUCUUUCGUGUGGUUGUUUUCCAGGGGAAAAACUUAGAAGUUCGCUUCUGGGUAUUCAAUAGCUCUGCGCCCACCCUUCUGGUUCACUAAAGCCACAUUUCAAAGUUGACAGAUCUUGAAGUUUCUACUACAUUUAUCAGGUUUGUGUUGCUGCAUCCGAGACUGGAUUGUGGUUCAAUAUGGUGUGCGAGAGUGGUAAACAAACAAACCAACCGCUAGAAAAUAUGUGUUGUUUCCUCCGAAAGUGCAUUUUUUCAGUACUUUCUGUUGGUCCUAUUCCUAACCAUGUUGCAUUUAUAAUGGAUGGAAAUCGAAGAUAUGCUAAGAAGCAGACUUUGGAAGAGGGGAAUGGGCAUAGGGCUGGUUUUUCUGCUCUUAUGAAUAUGCUAAAAUAUUGUUUCGAGCUCGGUGUGAAGUACAUAACUGUUUAUGCCUUUAGUAUUGAUAACUUCAAAAGGCGCCCUGAAGAAGUUGGAUCCCUUAUGCACUUGAUGCAGGAAAAGAUUGAAGAGAUGAUUAAAGAGCAAAGCAUAGUGAACCGCUAUGGAAUCCGAGUUUAUUUUCAGGGGAACCUAAAACUUUUGAGUGACCCGGUUAGGUCAGCAGCAGAGAGGGCUAUGGCAGCAACCGCUGGUAACUCAAAUGCCACUCUAUCGAUCUGUGUUGCCUACACAUCAACGGAUGAGAUUGUACAUGCUGUUGAGCAAUCAUGUGAAGAAAAAUGGAAGGAAAUCAGCAAAAGAAAUCAAAAUUCUGCUCAAAAUGAUAUAACAGAACGUUUGAAUGGAAAUGAUAAGAUUGAGAAUCUUAUUGGCUCAACAGAUAUUGAUAGACAUAUGUAUAUGGCUGUUGUUCCCGAUCCUGAUAUCAUAAUACGUACCUCUGGAGAAACUCGGUUAAGCAAUUUCCUACUAUGGCAGAGUGCAAAGUGUCUUCUUUACUCUCCCACCGCCCUUUGGCCAGAAAUCGGUUUCAGGCAUUUGGUUUGGGCAAUUUUGGAUUUCCAAAGGAACUACUCCUACCUUAAGGGGAAAGAGAAGGAAACUUAACGGUUUUUAGGCAGGGUAAGUUCAUUCAGGGGUCAUCGUCAUUGUAGAAUGAGAUUUCCUCUACAAAGAUGCAAGUACGGGUUGGGAUUUGUUUUUGGUGAUCUCGCCUUGGGUUAACACGAUGACGAUAGAUACAUUCACACAGAACUGGAUCAUUCUGUAUUUCUGUUUAUCUGCCUCGUGGCCUCCGAACUCCAUCUUCCAUGGUUUGGUUCUACUUCUGGAGCUGGAGAUAUUUCAUCAGAUUUUAUGUGAGUAUUUUUGUAUGUUAAAAGUAAUCAAUGCUCUUUUUUGAAUUGACUUGACCUGUAAACUAUAUUUAGGAAAAAAAA
This is an RNA transcript of Ipomoea nil (Japanese morning glory), 1546 nucleotides long. It is a transcript of the gene named dehydrodolichyl diphosphate synthase 6-like, with no coding region annotated. Lineage: Eukaryota; Viridiplantae; Streptophyta; Magnoliopsida; Solanales; Convolvulaceae. The transcript has 3 exons. The record is from RefSeq and is a predicted model, not a curated record.